AGAUUAAGUUAUUAAGGGCGCACGGUGGAUGCCUUGGCACUAGAAGCCGAUGAAGGACGUUACUAACGACGAUAUGCUUUGGGGAGCUGUAAGUAAGCUUUGAUCCAGAGAUUUCCGAAUGGGGAAACCCAGCAUGAGUUAUGUCAUGUUAUCGAUAUGUGAAUACAUAGCAUAUCAGAAGGCACACCCGGAGAACUGAAACAUCUUAGUACCCGGAGGAAGAGAAAGAAAAUUCGAUUCCCUUAGUAGCGGCGAGCGAAACGGGAAG
This 268-nucleotide ribosomal RNA is filed under the name Streptomyces malaysiensis subsp. malaysiensis. RNAcentral's name for it is "partial 23S ribosomal RNA". It matches the Rfam family "Bacterial large subunit ribosomal RNA", at positions 1 to 265 of the family's 2925-position model. The record is from RNAcentral. Lineage: Bacteria; Bacillati; Actinomycetota; Actinomycetes; Kitasatosporales; Streptomycetaceae.